UGGGGAAUAUUGCGCAAUGGAGAAGAACUCUGACGCAGCAAUACCGCGUGAGCGAAGAAGGUCUUCGGAUCGUAAAGCUCUGUUAUCAGGGAAGAAGAAAAUGACGGUACCUGAUGAGCAAGUCCCGGCUAACUACGUGCCAGCAGCCGCGGUAAUACGUAGGGGACAAGCGUUGUCCGGAAUCACUGGGCGUAAAGGGCGCGCAGGCGGUGAUUUAAGCAGGAUGUGAAAGGCUACGGCUCAACCGUAGACAUGCACCCUGAACUGGGUCACUUGAGUAUUGGAGAGGCAGGCAGAAUUCCUGGUGUAGCGGUGAAAUGCGUAGAUAUCAGGAGGAAUACCGGAGGCGAAGGCGGCCUGCUGGACAAAUACUGACGCUGAGGCGCGAAAGCGUGGGGAG
This 400-nucleotide ribosomal RNA is filed under the name uncultured bacterium. RNAcentral describes it as "bacterial SSU rRNA". It matches the Rfam family "Bacterial small subunit ribosomal RNA", at positions 355 to 768 of the family's 1533-position model. The record is from RNAcentral.